Molecule: ribosomal RNA, 446 nt
Filed under: uncultured bacterium
Lineage: Bacteria
Description: partial 16S ribosomal RNA
Rfam family: Bacterial small subunit ribosomal RNA
Source: RNAcentral
CCUACGGGGCGCAGCAGUCGAGAAUCAUUCACAAUGGGGGAAACCCUGAUGGUGCGACGCCGCGUGGGGGAAUGAAGGUCUUCGGAUUGUAAACCCCUGUCAUGUGGGAGCAAAUUAAAAAGAUAGUACCACAAGAGGAAGAGACGGCUAACUCUGUGCCAGCAGCCGCGGUAAUACAGAGGUCUCAAGCGUUGUUCGGAAUCACUGGGCGUAAAGCGUGCGUAGGCUGUUUCGUAAGUCGUGUGUGAAAGGCGCGGGCUCAACCCGCGGACGGCACAUGAUACUGCGAGACUAGAGUAAGGGAGGGGGAACCGGAAUUCGCGGUGUAGCAGUGAAAUGCGUAGAUAUCGAGAGGAACACUCGUGGCGAAGGCGGGUUCCUGGACAUUAACUGACGCUGAGGCACGAAGGCCAGGGGAGCGAAAGGGAUUAGAUACCCGGGUAGUC